Non-coding RNA from Camellia sinensis, 2786 nucleotides. Lineage: Eukaryota; Viridiplantae; Streptophyta; Magnoliopsida; Ericales; Theaceae. The record is from RefSeq and is a predicted model, not a curated record.
UACUUACUCAACAACACAAAUAUUAUCAGUGGAUCUCUCUCCAUCAUCAUUUUCAUCUUGUAUCAACCUAGGGUUUCUUUCUCUCUCUACAUUCAUCUCGAUCCCUCCUCCUCCUUCGAUCUGAUCAUCUCUCUCUCUCUCUCUCUCUCUCUCUCUCUCUCUUCAAUCGAGUUCUUUGAUUCAUCAAGUCAAUGGACGCGAUCGACGAAUUGGCUCAGCUAGCCGAUUCGAUGCGCCAAGCAUCUGCUUUGCUUGCCAACGAAUAUGUCGACGAAAACUCAUCGUCCUCACGCCGCGCUUCCACUUUCCUCAAUGUCAUUGCUCUCGGCAAUACUGUGAGUUGAUUGAUUUUAGAAUCAACGAUAUAUUGUAUCGAUGUUGAAAUUUGACGCUUUUGUUUAUUGAUUAGAUCUCUGGAUCUAGCUGCAUUUUUUGUCUUGAUUUUGAUUUGAAUAGGUGCAUCUGAAUCAGAUGUAGAGAGAAUUGUGUAUCGAUUUUUGGUGAACAAGUAGUUAGGAGAGAACUGAGUCAAAUCAGGCAUUUUUUUGUUGUGUUGAUUGUGUAAUUGCUUAUUGGAUAUCUUAUGAUCUUUGGUUAUUGUUGCUCUCUCAUCAUUUUGGUAGUAGUGCCUCAAAUAUUGUUGAUUCGAUGAAUUGAGUAGCAUUAUGAAUGUAAUUUGGUAUACUAGCUGAUGGUGCUGUUCACUUUGUUGUUAGAUUGAGUGAAUUGUACUGUCCUUGUGUGAAUUGUAAUUGGCAUUUUUUUUUAAUCUUUAAUUUUAAUUUUUAUCUUGUGCUUUAUGAGCUCAAAUUUCUAUUUUACUGUUUUAUUAAUAUGUAACAUGUAUGUGUGUAAGUGAAUUUUGUAACGAGUAUAACUAGUGUUUAUGAAAUCUCUGGUGAUUCUGGUUUGUUGAUACCACUCUUUUGUUUUAUUGCUCUAGCUUACACAUGCCACUUACACAUUUGAAUAUAACCUUUCAAGGAUUUUGUAGAAGCCAUCACAGUGUAAAGCUAUAUAGACUUUGAUUGGACUACAAUGGGCAGGAGUAUAUGAGCAGUUCAUCUAGAAGAUUUUAGAGGCUUAGGGUGUAUAUAAUAUUAACACAAUACAUUCAUUACACAGUCGAACUAUGAAACUCUGUUGUGUCUUUAGAGGCUUAUGUGUACAAGUUGCAUCCCCUUGAUGCUUAUUAAUGAUAGCUUAUAUAUAUGUACAUAAAUUCUACAAAUAUUGUUAAGAGCUUUUUAACCUAGGCCUUAAUUGAGCCUUGUAGGUCUUUAAUGGACAUCAUCAUCUUUCUUGAUUUAAUGAGUCUCCUUCCUUACUGUCACUCUCCUCCCUUUGCACCAAGUUUCUUGUAGCUACAGUUAUCAUCUUGUACAUGGUGGAACUAAAACAACUUAAUAUUGACAAUAAUUUGUUGUUUAUAUAUUCUCUCCGUGUAUGAAGAAACAGCUGGGUUGAUCAUCAAUAAUCUUGUUAUGUUUUUUACAAUAUUAUUGUUAGAACUUUUGAGUAGUUAUAGAUCAAACAUUAAAUGCACUAACAUUUAUCUUGUCCAUUGAUAUUACAGCCUCUGUCGGUGGAGUUAGGUCCUGGAAUCUUGGGGAAUAUAUUUGAUGGUAUUCAGAACUCCAAUGGGACCAACGAUAUGCUUGGAAAGUGUGAACAGGUUUUUGUUUUGGGUUGAUGUUGGAUUGAAGGGAAAUGCAAAAAUCUUGUAUAGGUAUUGAUAACAAAUUUUGUGCUUGAUGAACAUUUCAAUUUUUCUUGGACUUGAUGAAUGUCGCGCGAGUGGAGUCCAAAUUGUGAGUAUUUGCGUUCAGAAUUACUUUUUCCAGUCAGGUGAAUGACUUAAGAUGUAACUUGAACAUAAUUAAUGCUGCUGCUAGAGAGGUAAAAGAAUCUGCAAAAUUGCGUCAAGUAAUGUAGACGAUUCUCACUAUAGGAAAUGAAUUGAACCAAGGCACUGCUUGAGGUAUUAUUCUGUAUUAAAGCUGAAGGACUUCACUGGAAGGGAGAAGCCUAUAGAUAUCACUUAAAUUUGAGUGUCUGAUGUUAAUCUCACACAAUGAGGCUUCACUAGUAACAAUGUGAAAGCAGGUGGAUCCCCAAGAUAUUGUUAUGGUAUGUGGAUAUAUUUACAUACUCUGAACCUGCUAUAAAUCAUAAAACACAAAAUGAUUUAUAUAAUUACACUGUUCUACAAAUUUUGUCAUGUAGGAUUAAAUUUUUUAUCCUUUGAUCUGUGAUAAACUCUAAAAUUUCAAAGAAUUUGCAGAAUUCCUUGGAAGAGUGUGGUAGAAGUAUUAUUUAUUUAUUUUUAUUUUUUUGAAGAUCUUAAUUUGUUGUAGGGAUAUGUGGUUUUAGAAAUGGAACAAUUUGUUUUCUGCAUGUUCAUGUCUUGGAAUAAUUAUCAAUUUUUAAAUGGAGAUGACAACUCUCUUCUGGCUAUUAAUUUGUUUUUCUGCAUGGUCAUGUCUGAUGAUGAGUUAACUGCUGAAAUCUUUCAACACGUGAGUUUUCCUAUAUUUAAGGGCACGGAUAAAAUGUUUGCAUAACUCUGUUCCUUCUCCUGAUCAUUGUUGCCCUGUAAUGAUAGUUCAUAUUCAGCUAUCUUAAGAUAUUUGGUCCAUUUUUUCCAUGAGAAUUGAUUAUUCAAUCAAGGUGGUUAUUCUUUUUCUAUUGAAGCAGGAGGAUGAAGAGUCCGUAUGAUGAGAAAAAGUCCGAUUGUAUCUUUUUUCAGAAAUUUCUUGGAGAGAUGCAAAAUAUGGUCAAAGAAU